CACAACUGAGAUGGCAGAUCUGACCUGGGUAGGUUAGAGGUAAUAAACUGCCACACCUAACGCCCUACCCUAAUGCCUUCAAUAAAACAGCAUCUGUUUUAAAUAUCAGAGGAAGGAAUGCAAGAACAUACAAUCGGGUCCCAAGAACAUAGUGGGGGAAAUACCUCUUCCCUUGGAUAAUGAAAGCGCUCUCCUGUUUCUUUAGAUUAUAGGAAUUAAGACAAGAAAACAUAAUCACCCUUCCCUUCACCCUCCACUCCCUACCCAAGAUGUAUAGGUAAUGAUGGUGAUAAAAAGGGCAAGAGGCUUGCUCAAGAUAUGACAAGACAGCCAAAAAGAAGAGCGAGAUUCAAGGAUUU
Molecule: long non-coding RNA, 359 nt
Filed under: Bos taurus (domestic cattle)
Lineage: Eukaryota; Metazoa; Chordata; Mammalia; Artiodactyla; Bovidae
Description: long non-coding RNA NONBTAT023772
Source: RNAcentral